AACACAUCACAUCUAAUGUGGACAUAUCAGACGCCUUGUGAAACACUACAGGAAAAAUUCAGUUUCGAGUUAUGGCACUUGCCGCAUAGAUGUGGGGGGCCUUGCACUAAUAGUGAUAGUUACCACUGCAUUUAGAAAUUGAAAGCAUUCAUGCAGACAAGGAUGGUUCUUUAUAUUUUUGGCUACCACUUCAAAUGCCUCCACCAAGUGUUACAAUGCUGCAUGCAGCCAUACUAAGGAUCUCGCAGCAACACCUGCAGGUAAAAAGCAGAAGCAGUCAAAGUGCUCGUGUGUUCUAGACACUAUGUUUGAAAACUUUUAGGCAAGAGUGCAAGAAGCAGACAUAACAACUGCAUUUAUUUCCAUAAUUCCCCAUUUGAAUGGCCUUUUCUUUUUGCUUAGACAAUGCCUACGCCUAGCCACAGCAGCUCCCUCAUACAGACUCCGCAAGCCAAGAGGCCGUGGAGGCAAAUGCAGGCAGACAGCACACCUCGAACAGCCACCUUGACUGCGGGGGUGUCACCCUAGUUGCCAAGGAAACAUUUGAGGGAAAGCCACAGGCAAUGUGAGCAGCCACUUCUCCAUGUAAACGAUACUCUUUCUCUCGGAUGACUCCUACGUUCGCCACGCCAGCACACUUGUGCACAAAGAUGCCACGGAGGCACGUGCAGGUCAGAGGCAAGAAGCAGUGGCACUGGUGUCAACAUUCACCCAAUUUCUUUUUCUUACACUGAGGCAGCCAGCACACCUCGAACAGCCACCUUGACUGCGGGUGUGUCAGUAGAUUCCUGUUGUACAUAUGCUCAUAAUAAACUUCAGUAAACUUGAACUUGAUAACAAACUUGAAGGCAAAUGGGA
This 858-nucleotide long non-coding RNA is filed under the name Dermacentor andersoni. Its description in RNAcentral is "uncharacterized LOC126536704". Lineage: Eukaryota; Metazoa; Arthropoda; Arachnida; Ixodida; Ixodidae. The record is from RNAcentral.